AGAGUUUGAUCCUGGCUCAGAACGAACGCUGGCGGCGUGGAUAAGACAUGCAAGUCGAGCGCUAAUUACAGGGUAGCAAUAUUCUGUAGUUGGAGCGGCGCAAGGGUGCGUAACACGUGGGUAAUCUGCCAUGAAGUUUGGAAUAACUCGCUGAAAGGCGAGCUAAUGCCGAAUGUGACGAUUGGAAGGCAUCUUCUGAUCUUUAAAGUUGGGGAUCGUAAGACCUGACGCUUCAUGAUGAGCCCGCGGCCUAUCAGCUAGUUGGUGAGGUAACGGCUCACCAAGGCUAAGACGGGUAGCUGGUCUGAGAGGACGACCAGCCACACUGGAACUGAGACACGGUCCAGACACCUACGGGUGGCAGCAGUCGAGAAUUUUUCACAAUGGGGGAAACCCUGAUGGAGCGACGCCGCGUGGGGGAUGAAUGGCUUCGGCCCGUAAACCCCUGUCAUUCGAGAACAAAUUGGUUCAAUUAACACCUGAACCAUUGAUAGUACCGGAAGAGGAAGGGACGGCUAACUCUGUGCCAGCAGCCGCGGUAAUACAGAGGUCCCAAGCGUUGUUCGGAUUCACUGGGCGUAAAGGGUGCGUAGGCGGUCGGGUAAGUCUGAUGUGAAAUCUCACAGCUUAACUGUGAAACUGCAUUGGAUACUAUUCGGCUUGAGAGUUGGAGGGGGGACUGGAAUUCUUGGUGUAGCAGUGAAAUGCGUAGAUAUCAAGAGGAACACCAGUGGCGAAGGCGAGUCCCUGGACAACUUCUGACGCUGAGGCACGAAAGCUAGGGGAGCAAACAGGAUUAGAUACCCUGGUAGUCCUAGCCGUAAACGGUGCUUAUUUGCUGUAAAAGGAAUCGACCCCUUUUGUGGCGUAGCAAACGCGUUAAAUAAGCCGCCUGGGAAGUACGGUCGCAAGAUUAAAACUCAAAGAAAUUGACGGGGCCUGCACAAGCGGUGGAGUAUGGUGGCUUAAUUUCGAUGCAACGCG
RNAcentral lists this ribosomal RNA (984 nucleotides) under uncultured bacterium. RNAcentral's name for it is "bacterial SSU rRNA". It matches the Rfam family "Bacterial small subunit ribosomal RNA", at positions 8 to 963 of the family's 1533-position model. The record is from RNAcentral.